UACGGAGGGGGCGAGCGUUAUUCGGAAUUAUUGGGCGUAAAGGGCGCGUAGGCGGCUGUACAAGUCAAAGGUGAAAUCCCUCGGCUCAACUGAGGAACUGCCUUUGAAACUGUACGGCUUGAGGCCGGGAGGGAGUAGCGGAAUUCCCAGUGUAGCGGUGAAAUGCGUAGAUAUUGGGAGGAACACCAGUGGCGAAGGCGGCUACCUGGACCGGUUCUGACGCUGAUGCGCGAAAGCGUGGGUAGCAAACAGG
RNAcentral lists this ribosomal RNA (253 nucleotides) under uncultured bacterium. RNAcentral's name for it is "partial 16S ribosomal RNA". It matches the Rfam family "Bacterial small subunit ribosomal RNA", at positions 524 to 776 of the family's 1533-position model. The record is from RNAcentral.